UGCAAGUCGAGCGAGAACUCUUUUUUGAUCUUUCGGGUGAAGAAAAGGGCGGACAGCGGCGAAAGGGAGAGUAACGCGUAGAUUACGUACCCAGGGGUUCGGAAUAGCGGGGGGAAACCGCCGGUAAUGCCGAAUAAUGUCUUCGGACCAAAAAUUUAUUGCCCUUGGAGCGGUUUGCGUACUAUUAGCUUGUUGGUGGGGUAAAAGCCUACCAAGGCUAAGAUGGUUAGCGGGUGUGAGAGCAUGGCCCGUCUCACUGGGACUGAGACACUGCCCAGACACCUACGGGUGGCUGCAGUCGAGAAUCUUCCGCAAUGGACGAAAGUCUGACGGAGCGACGCCGCGUGCGGGAUGAAGGCCUUCGGGUUGUAAACCGCUGUCGUAGGGGAGGAAAUUUUGACCGAUCCUAGGAGGAAGCACAGGCUAAGUUCGUGCCAGCAGCCGCGGUAAUACG
This 454-nucleotide ribosomal RNA is filed under the name uncultured bacterium. Its description in RNAcentral is "bacterial SSU rRNA". It matches the Rfam family "Bacterial small subunit ribosomal RNA", at positions 56 to 527 of the family's 1533-position model. The record is from RNAcentral.